RNAcentral lists this ribosomal RNA (420 nucleotides) under uncultured eukaryote. RNAcentral describes it as "SSU rRNA". It matches the Rfam family "Eukaryotic small subunit ribosomal RNA", at positions 592 to 1018 of the family's 1831-position model. The record is from RNAcentral.
CAAUAGCGUAUAUUAAAGUUGUUGCGGUUAAAAGCUAGUAGUUGGAUUUCUGCUGAGGACGAUCGGUCCGCCCUCUGGGUGAGCAUUGACUCGGCCUUGGCAUCUUCUUGGAGAACGCUACUGCACUUGACUGUGUGGUGCGGUAUCCAGGACUUCUACUUUGAGGAAAUUAGACAGUUUCAAGCAGGCACACGCCUUGAAUUCAUUAGCAUGGAACAACAAGAUAGGACCUUGGUUCUAUUUUGUCGGUUUCUAGAGCUGAGGUCAUGAUUAAUAGGGAUAGUUGGGGGCAUUCGUAUUUGACUGUCAGAGGUGGAAUUCUUGGAUUUGUUAUAGACGGACUACUGCGAAAGCAUUUGCCAAGGAUGUGUUCAUUGAUCAAGAGAGUAAGUUAGGGGAUCGAAGACGAUUAGAUACCAU